Eremothecium cymbalariae DBVPG#7215 is the source of this 82-nucleotide transfer RNA. It matches the Rfam family "tRNA". Rfam says of the family: Transfer RNA (tRNA) molecules are approximately 80 nucleotides in length. Their secondary structure includes four short double-helical elements and three loops (D, anti-codon, and T loops). The record is from Rfam. NCBI's taxonomy places the organism in Eukaryota, Fungi, Ascomycota, Saccharomycetes, Saccharomycetales, Saccharomycetaceae.
GGCAACAUGGCCGAGUGGUUAAGGCGACAGACUUGAAAUCUGUUGGGCUUUGCCCGCGCUGGUUCUAAUCCUGCUGUUGUCG